CAGCACCCCAAGUGGUCAGGAUGAUUAUUGGGCCUAAAGCAUCCGUAGCCGGCGCUGUAAGUUUUCGGUUAAAUCUGUACGCUCAACGUACAGGCUGCCGGGAAUACUGCAGCGCUAGGGAGUGGGAGAGGUAGACGGUACUCGGUAGGAAGGGGUAAAAUCCUUUGAUCUAUUGAUGACCACCUGUGGCGAAGGCGGUCUACCAGAACACGUCCGACGGUGAGGGAUGAAAGCUGGGGGAGCAAACCGGAUUAGAUACCCGCGUAGUCC
RNAcentral lists this ribosomal RNA (270 nucleotides) under uncultured archaeon. RNAcentral describes it as "partial 16S ribosomal RNA". It matches the Rfam family "Archaeal small subunit ribosomal RNA", at positions 477 to 747 of the family's 1478-position model. The record is from RNAcentral.